CCUACGGGGGGCUGCAGUGGGGAAUAUUGCACAAUGGGGGAAACCCUGAUGCAGCAACGCCGCGUGAGCGAUGAAGGUCUUCGGAUCGUAAAGCUCUGUUGUUAGGGAAGAACAAGUGCGGGAGGAAAUGACCGUACCUUGACGGUACCUAACGAGGAAGCCACGGCUAACUACGUGCCAGCAGCCGCGGUAAUACGUAGGUGGCAAGCGUUGUCCGGAAUUAUUGGGCGUAAAGGGUGCGUAGGCGGCCCUUCAAGUCAGAGGUGAAAGGCUACGGCUCAACCGUAGUAAGCCUUUGAAACUGUAGGGCUUGAGUGCAGGAGAGGAGAGUGGAAUUCCCAGUGUAGCGGUGAAAUGCGUAGAUAUUGGGAGGAACACCAGUUGCGAAGGCGGCUCUCUGGACUGUAACUGACGCUGAGGCACGAAAGUGUGGGGAGCGAACAGGAUUAGAUACCCCUGUAGUC
This 464-nucleotide ribosomal RNA is filed under the name uncultured bacterium. RNAcentral's name for it is "bacterial SSU rRNA". It matches the Rfam family "Bacterial small subunit ribosomal RNA", at positions 338 to 795 of the family's 1533-position model. The record is from RNAcentral.